This 478-nucleotide ribosomal RNA is filed under the name uncultured bacterium. RNAcentral describes it as "partial 16S ribosomal RNA". It matches the Rfam family "Bacterial small subunit ribosomal RNA", at positions 28 to 507 of the family's 1533-position model. The record is from RNAcentral.
GAUGAACGCUGGCGGCGUGCUUAACACAUGCAAGUCGAACGGGAAGUAGUUUAGUGUAACUUCCGGCGAUUUAAUUUAAUUCUAGGGGCGGAAGGGGGAGUAACGCGUGGGUAAACUGGCUUAUACAGGGGGAUAACAGGCAGAAAUGGCUGAUAAUACCGCAUAAGAGGACAGAGCAGCAUGAGUCAGUGUGGAAGCCUCCGGUUGGAUAAGAUGGAACGGCGUUGGAUUAGCUGGUUGGUAGGGUAACGGCCCCCCACGGCGACGAGCCAUACCCUGGCUGAGAGGCUGAGCCGCCACUUUGGCACUGGGCCACAGCCCAGACUCCUCCGCGAUGCAGCAGUGGGGAAUAUUGCACCAUCGCGUGAGUCCUGAUGCAGCGACGCCGCGUGAAGGCAGAAGUAUCUCGGUAUGUAAACUUCUAUCAGCAGGGAAGAUAGUGACGGUACCUGACUAAGAAGCCCCGGCUAACUACGUG